RNAcentral lists this long non-coding RNA (944 nucleotides) under Cricetulus griseus (Chinese hamster). RNAcentral describes it as "lncRNA (ENSCGRG00015032529.1)". Lineage: Eukaryota; Metazoa; Chordata; Mammalia; Rodentia; Cricetidae. The record is from RNAcentral.
CUCUCCCAGACCCUUAAAACAGCUAAGUUUGCUAUUUUAACUUCCUAGUGGGCCAGGAUACAAAGUAUGGGGGCAUUCAAAUGCUAGAAAAGCAAAACAAAAUCAGGAGGUGGGUGAGGGUGGAGAGGGGAAUGCAGUCAAGAUUCCUUCAUGACUCAUAUUUCUCUAUUGAAAACUAAGGUUUCUGGUCACAUUAGGGUAGAGAAAUUGAUAGCAGCUGCAGAUGGGAAAGUUUGAACACGUAUCUCCCUAGGCAGUAUUUUCCCUGGUGUUUUCUGUGCCUGCGCUAUGUUGUAAAGUAUUGUAGAUUGCAGUUUUAUGGUUAGCUGAAGCUUCUUCAGUUAGGUAGAAGAACCAAAACCAUUUAAUCCUUUUUCUUCAGAACACUCACCAUGUUUUAUGCUCUUUCUUCAUUUGUUGCAGUGCUGGUGUGACAUCUGCCUGUCCUCACUCAGCAUCAGUGAUGUUGUGCAUGGCGUGGAAAGGACAGAAAACCCGUGGAGUUUUGGCCAAGCAAAAGGAAGUUUCUCAGCUGCUGUGCAGCCAGGAUCAGCCGAAUAAUUCUGGAGUGUGAAACGUAGUCUACUGAGAGAAUGGCAAAGGCAUGGAGCAGUUCACUGAUGCCACGGUAGAUCCAUAAGGAGAACAGAGAUGUCAGAGAGGGAGACUUUGGGGUUGAGUGCUGAGCAGCGUCCCCUCUGUGCCUCUCCCUGCCUGGAUAUACAGACGGAAAUCACCGCAGGCAUUUGACUGCUUCAUGUAGCCCCGGAAAGGAUACUGUGGGUCAUCUCAGAGCCAAAACUAGAAACAAGCACCUUUGAAAAAUAGCCCAGUGAAUGUGAAAGAAGCAUUUCUGCAGAGGGAGCUGCCAGCAAGACUUGUUCCUUUGCCAGAAGGGGUGCUGGGCGAAAGCCUCUAUCCCUCAUUAAAUCAAUAAAAUCAAG